Molecule: non-coding RNA, 756 nt
Organism: Coturnix japonica (Japanese quail)
Lineage: Eukaryota; Metazoa; Chordata; Aves; Galliformes; Phasianidae
Source: RefSeq, a predicted model, not a curated record
GUUCCCUUUGUCCCCGAGGCGCCGUCAGGUGGCGCAGCCCGCGGCCCUCGGGGCGCUCCAGUGCGGGCGCUGAGCUGAGAGGAGCGGAGCGGGAGGGCGGCUGUGUCCCCGGGCUGUGUCAGUGCGUUUCUCAGUGCGCUCCUCUGAACUCGCUCUAAAACCCCGCUAAGACUCGAGGGUGCCCUUCUGGCCUGAAAGGCAGCCCGCGCACGUUGCAUUGAGAAGCCAGGUGUGAAUUACGGCGGUAGUGAGGCAGGUUGCCAUGGCUCGGCUGAUAGAAGGUGGAACAAGAAGAGUAUGAGCUGCAAGAAGGCUGCACCAUGCACCAGGGUUACAGAGGUUGUUGAAGAGUCAUUUGCGGUAUUUCAACUCAGCAAAGCAACUGUAUGAAGACCAGAAAUGUAGCCAUUUCAAUGCUGCAAACAGCAGCCAGCCCGUGAGGUGAACCGCGUGGUGGAUAAGAACUGAAUUUUAAAGUGAUCUUGAAUUUGAAAUAUGUAAUUCCUCGGAUUCUUCUCACGACUGGGUUAAUGUACAGUUGUCCACUAGAGAGCAGGCUGAGACCAACAAACCCAUUCCGUUCCUGUCAUAAACCGACUUUGAACCCAGGUGUCUUAAUGUAAAUCGUUAGUACAUUAAAGCACUGCACCUUCUAGCUUCAGCUGUGCGUAUAUGUACUGCUAUCAAACUUGAUGGAUAUCGCUUGUGAAGCUUAGUGACCUAAGGUGGUGAUAAUAAAGUAUUCUGGAACCUGGA